UCACAGACAGAUAAGCCUACCUGGCCU
This 27-nucleotide non-coding RNA is filed under the name Rattus norvegicus (Norway rat). Lineage: Eukaryota; Metazoa; Chordata; Mammalia; Rodentia; Muridae. The record is from RNAcentral.